This 254-nucleotide non-coding RNA is filed under the name Paenibacillus selenitireducens. RNAcentral's name for it is "T-box sequence". It matches the Rfam family "T-box leader". Rfam says of the family: Uncharged tRNA acts as the effector for transcription antitermination of genes in the T-box leader family. T-boxes are found upstream of many aminoacyl-tRNA synthetase genes and some amino acid biosynthetic genes usually in Gram-positive bacteria. Lineage: Bacteria; Bacillati; Bacillota; Bacilli; Caryophanales; Paenibacillaceae. The record is from RNAcentral.
GCAAACGCAAUGAUGAGAAGAGUAGGGGAAGAUGUUCUUACGCAGAGAGCUCCGGCAGCUGAAAAGGAGCAAAGAGUUUUUCCCUGAAACAAGUCUCUGAGCAGCAUGUCGGAACCUUCAGGGGGGAUGGUGUGACGGGAGCUCCCGUUAUUGAGCUAGAGUAUAAGCAUUGCCUGCAAUGCCGUACUUGAAGAGGUUAAUAUGGCGACAUAUUAAUGAACCUGGGGUGGUACCACGAAAAUUUCGUCCCCAAG